AAUUUAGCAGAGAUGCUUUAGUGCCUUCGGGAACUCUGAGACAGGUGCUGCAUGGCUGUCGUCAGCUCGUGUUGUGAAAUGUUGGGUUAAGUCCCGCAACGAGCGCAACCCUUAUCCUUUGUUGCCAGCACGUAAUGGUGGGAACUCAAAGGAGACUGCCGGUGAUAAACCGGAGGAAGGUGGGGAUGACGUCAAGUCAUCAUGGCCCUUACGAGUAGGGCUACACACGUGCUACAAUGGCGCAUACAAAGAGAAGCGACCUCGCGAGAGCAAGCGGACCUCAUAAAGUGCAUCGUAGUCCGGAUUGGAGUCUGCAACUCGACUCCAUGAAGUCGGAAUCGCUAGUAAUCGUAAAUCAGAAUGUUACGGUGAAUACGUUCCCGGGCCUUGUACACACCGCCCGUCACACCAUGGGAGUGGGUUGCAAAAGAAGUAGAUAGCUUAACCUUCGGGAGGGCGUUUACCACUUUGUGAUUCAUGACUGGGGUGAAGUCGUAACAAGGUAGGCGUAGUGCU
This 516-nucleotide ribosomal RNA is filed under the name uncultured bacterium. RNAcentral's name for it is "bacterial SSU rRNA". It matches the Rfam family "Bacterial small subunit ribosomal RNA", at positions 994 to 1509 of the family's 1533-position model. The record is from RNAcentral.